This 252-nucleotide ribosomal RNA is filed under the name Escherichia coli. Its description in RNAcentral is "partial 23S ribosomal RNA". It matches the Rfam family "Bacterial large subunit ribosomal RNA", at positions 1 to 254 of the family's 2925-position model. Lineage: Bacteria; Pseudomonadati; Pseudomonadota; Gammaproteobacteria; Enterobacterales; Enterobacteriaceae. The record is from RNAcentral.
GUUAAGCGACUAAGCGUACACGGUGGAUGCCCUGGCAGUCAGAGGCGAUGAAGGACGUGCUAAUCUGCGAUAAGCGUCGGUAAGGUGAUAUGAACCGUUAUAACCGGCGAUUUCCGAAUGGGGAAACCCAGUGUGAUUCGUCACACUAUCAUUAACUGAAUCCAUAGGUUAAUGAGGCGAACCGGGGGAACUGAAACAUCUAAGUACCCCGAGGAAAAGAAAUCAACCGAGAUUCCCCCAGUAGCGGCGAGC